GACGAACGCUGGCGGCGUGCUUAACACAUGCAAGUCGAACGAAGAGCGAUGGAAGCUUGCUUCUAUCAAUCUUAGUGGCGAACGGGUGAGUAACGCGUAAUCAACCUGCCCUUCAGAGGGGGACAACAGUUGGAAACGACUGCUAAUACCGCAUACGAUCCAAUCUCGGCAUCGGGACUGGAUGAAAGGUGGCCUCUAUUUAUAAGCUAUCACUGAAGGGGGGGAUUGCGUCUGAUUAGCUAGUUGGAGGGGUAACGGCCCACCAAGGCGAUGAUAAGUAGCCGGUCUGAGAGGAUGAACGGCCACAUUGGGACUGAGACACGGCCCAGACUCCUACGGGAGGCAGCAGUGGGGAAUCUUCCGCAAUGGACGAAAGUCUGACGGAGCAACGCCGCGGGAGUGAUGACGGCCUUCGGGUUGUAAAGCUCUGUUAAUCGGGACGAAUGGUUUUUGUGCGAAUAGUGCGAGGAUUUGACGGUACCGGAAUAGAAAGCCACGGCUAACUACGUG
This 510-nucleotide ribosomal RNA is filed under the name uncultured bacterium. RNAcentral's name for it is "partial 16S ribosomal RNA". It matches the Rfam family "Bacterial small subunit ribosomal RNA", at positions 28 to 507 of the family's 1533-position model. The record is from RNAcentral.